GGGGCUGACUGGAUUUGACAGCAAUGGUAAUUAUAUAAUAAGCAUGUCGAGUAUUGUAUUUUAUCUCGUAAAUAAUAAAAUACAUUUUUUUAAUUGGCGAAAAUAAUUACGCUUUAGCUGCCUAAUUAAUAUAAUUAGACAAGCUUUUGUCUCUUUUAAAGGAUUUCCUGAUUCCUUUAUUAAUGAGGCAUUAUUAAUUUCAGGAUAGUUUACUUAUUGCUUGAAUAAGUAAAUAAAAUUUAAAAGCUAAGGAAAAAAUUGGUUGCAUCUUUCCUGCUUUUUCUCGAAAAAUAAAAGAUGAUAAACAUGUAGAAAAUUAUUUAGUUCAUUGUUUGGACGUGGGUUCGAAACCCACCAGCUCCACCA
Molecule: transfer-messenger RNA, 366 nt
Filed under: Flavobacteriales
Lineage: Bacteria; Pseudomonadati; Bacteroidota; Flavobacteriia
Also listed under: 1 other name
Description: CAJWCP01 sp913031595 Standard tmRNA
Rfam family: transfer-messenger RNA
About the family: Bacterial tmRNA, also known as 10Sa RNA or SsrA, is named for its dual tRNA and mRNA-like properties. Its role is to liberate the mRNA from a stalled ribosome.
Source: RNAcentral